RNAcentral lists this ribosomal RNA (429 nucleotides) under uncultured archaeon. Its description in RNAcentral is "bacterial SSU rRNA". It matches the Rfam family "Archaeal small subunit ribosomal RNA", at positions 474 to 903 of the family's 1478-position model. The record is from RNAcentral.
CACCAGCCCCUCGAGUGGUGGGGAUGAUUAUUUGGCCUAAAGCGUCCGUAGCCGGCCGGGUAAGUUUCCCGUUAAAUCCAAUGUCUCAAGCAUUGGACUGCGGGAAAUACUGUCUGGCUAGAGAGUGGGAGAGGUGUACGGUAUUCUGGGGGUAGGGGCGAAAUCCUUUGAUCCCCGGAGGACCACCAGUGGCGAAGGCUGUACACUAGAACACGUCGGACGGUCAGGAACGAAGGCUGGGGUAGCGAACCGGAUUAGAUGCCCGGGUAGUCCCAGCUGUAAACGAUGCAUGCUAGGUGUUGGGUUGGCCACGAGCCACCCCAGUGCCGCAGGGAAGCCGUUAAGCAUGCCGCCUGGGAAGUACGAUCGCAAGAUUGAAACUUAAAGGAAUUGGCGGGGGAGCACCACCAGGCGUGAAGCCUGCGGUUU